GGCUCUGUGAUUACUUUGCCAAAGUGGCAGUAUACGCUAUUCUGAAUACAAUAAGAAAGAUACAUAUUUUAAUAUAUGAGAGCC
RNAcentral lists this small nucleolar RNA (84 nucleotides) under Brassica napus (rape). RNAcentral describes it as "snoRNA U54". It matches the Rfam family "Small nucleolar RNA U54". From Rfam's summary of the family: U54 is a C/D box small nucleolar RNA, which acts as a methylation guide for 18S ribosomal RNA in plants. Lineage: Eukaryota; Viridiplantae; Streptophyta; Magnoliopsida; Brassicales; Brassicaceae. The record is from Rfam by way of RNAcentral.